CUUUUUAUUCUUAGGACUUAAUUUUGGAAAGAUUGUGUGUACUUAUUUAUACAGAUAAUUGUAAAUAAGUCGAGCUGAGUUAGUUGUGGUGUUAAACUAUCUUCUCAAUAAGUUCUCUGGCAUGAUCAUCCACUACCGGCGCAGCCUCAACAGCAGGUCGCAGCAGCAGAGGGAUGCAGCAGCAGCACAUAGAGUUCGGCAGCAGCAGAGACCAAGGGUUGUCACAGCUCUCAGUCGCACAAGCUCACCGUUGCAUAACUCUCAGCGCAGAAGUCGAUUUAUAAGACAACUGAGGAAGCUCAACAUCUUAAAAAGUUGAUACAAGACUAUACUGCUUCUUUCAUCAAAGUAGGAGAUAAGGGGAGAAACCAUCGUUGUUCCAUUAUCAAAGGCCUCAUAUUGAAGUUAAUCUUCAGGAAUUUGUAUUUUGUAAUGUUUAUCGCUCUAGUUAUUUUUAUGAAAUUUGAUUCCUGUUAUUAUUUUAUUAAUCCUGUAAUUUGAUUUUAGUAGAAAUUUUUUUCCUGCAAAAAACAUUCUGAUAUUUGUUGGAUAUAAAUUGCCACUAAUUAUCUUUUAAA
Molecule: long non-coding RNA, 578 nt
Organism: Solanum pennellii
Lineage: Eukaryota; Viridiplantae; Streptophyta; Magnoliopsida; Solanales; Solanaceae
Exons: 3
Source: RefSeq, a predicted model, not a curated record